UACGUAGGGGGCAAGCGUUAUCCGGAUUUACUGGGUGUAAAGGGAGCGUAGACGGCAAUGCAAGUCUGGAGUGAAAGGCGGGGGCCCAACCCCCGGACUGCUCUGGAAACUGUAUAGCUGGAGUGCAGGAGAGGUAAGUGGAAUUCCUAGUGUAGCGGUGAAAUGCGUAGAUAUUAGGAGGAACACCAGUGGCGAAGGCGGCUUACUGGACUGUAGCUGACGUUGAGGCUCGAAAGCGUGGGGAGCAAACAGG
RNAcentral lists this ribosomal RNA (253 nucleotides) under uncultured bacterium. RNAcentral describes it as "partial 16S ribosomal RNA". It matches the Rfam family "Bacterial small subunit ribosomal RNA", at positions 524 to 776 of the family's 1533-position model. The record is from RNAcentral.